Acinonyx jubatus (cheetah) is the source of this 4652-nucleotide long non-coding RNA. RefSeq lists it as uncharacterized. Lineage: Eukaryota; Metazoa; Chordata; Mammalia; Carnivora; Felidae. The record is from RefSeq and is a predicted model, not a curated record. The transcript is spliced from 3 exons.
GAAAACUGACCACGAGUUUCAGGGCUGCCUGAGACCUUGAAGGCGAAGUGUUUACAAAUCAAAAUCCUUCUCCGUAGGCCCCUGGAGAGCAGGGCAUUUAAAAGGAGCCUUCCUCAAAUCCUUUUGCACACUGCGGAAUCCCUUUCGCCGGGGAGUGGCCCUCGCGCCCCAGCUGGGACACGCACGAGCACCCACGUGGGCACGCCUUCGUACGUCCGCACGCACACGCACGCACGUGUACGUAGUACGCACACAGACACCGCCAAGGUAAUAUAAGCUCGCUGGGAAAAUAAAAACCACUCGAACAGCGCAGCAAUGUAAAAUGGUCCCGCAGCCGCAGACGCAGGGUGGAAACGGACGGUCGCCGCCACCGAUUCCCGCGCCUGAGCUGAGGAAGGGGGUGGAUGGAAGGAAUCGAAGGGCUCCAAAGAAAAACCCCCGGAGCCAUCAGUGUGGAAGGACGGCAGAGUUUAGAGUCCAGCAGGGCAAGAUGUGAACCCGGAUUUUGUGACCCAGCAGCUCUGCAACCGUGGGCAAGUUGCUUUGCUUCUUGGGGCAUUAGUUCCCUCGGGUUUGGAAAACAAGGACCGUGAUUCAUGUGUGCUUAGAAAUGUGAAUUACAUUUCCUGCCCAUCUCUCCUUGGUCAGCCUUUCCCCACCCCCUGCCCCUCCAAGACCCCUAUGGCUAAUUAAUGGGAUUGGAGUGGACACCUCGUCCAGGCUGGGCAAAUCUGAUUCCCUCCCUGAGAAUUUCAGUUUAGGAUGAGGACACAAAGUCAAUCAGCUGUAAAUCCAUCCCGUCAGAUCGGGCCGCCCCGGGAGAGGCUGUGUUGGUGCUACAUGUAAUGGUGGGUCACAAGUGAGCAGAGAAGCCAGUUAGCAGAGAGAAGAAGGAAAGUGACCAAAGGAAUACUGACCCUCCUUAUCCUCAGCCUUUCUACUGGAGCUUCUCGCGUGGAUGUGGUCAACAGUUACGAUUCUGUUUGAUUGCCCGCGGCAGAAAACUCAGUCCAAACUACGGGAAGCAAAAAAAGAAUUCCCUGCUCGUAGGAAAACUUUCGGGGUUCAGAUCGGUUUCAACCACAACUUAAGGGGCCCCCAAUAAUGUCACCCUGGCCUGGUUUUUCUCCGUUUCUCUCCGGCUUGAGCUACACAUGACACGUUGGCAACAGCUCUGGGCUACAAACAUCCAGUUUCAAGUUCAUGGGCAAAGGAUUGCGAGAGUUCUUUCUCGGAAGCUUCAGUGAAGGUCUCAUGGCAUCUCAGUGGCUCUUGGUUGGGUCCCAUCCCUGUGCCAGUCACUGGGGCCAGAGGAAUGUGCCAUACGGAUUGCUCUGAGCAUAGGUCACGGGGCCUAUCUCUGAGCUGAAAUAGGCCGGUUGAGGACAUACGUGUGCGACAAAGAAGGUGCUCGAUGCUGAUUUCCCUUCCUCCUGUCCGUAAGCUGGUAGACUUUUCAAACAGUUCACUUAGGCUGAGAUCUCACAUCUUCCUGCCAAGCCGCCCUGCAGCCUGCCCUUUGGAGACCUGCAGGCCGGUCUCCUCGCUGCCUUUUGCACACUUGCACAUGACAGACCCUGGUCUGGAACACCCUUCCUGCUCCAUUUUCUUCCCCAAGCCUGAAAUCAAGGGUGGACUCAGGGUUCACCUCUUCCCUGACAACUUCCCAGGUCCUUCUGGCAAAUACGUAUGGGAGGGACUCAUACUUACGUUACAGAAAGAUUUUAUAGAAAACACUUUGCCUGAAAUCCUGGUAACCAGGAGGCGGUGGCUGUCAAUGGGCUUAAGGCUGGUACCCAGAGGUAAGAGGAUGGCAGGAACAGGGGACAUGGUGGCACAUGGGCAAGGUGGCCCUUGCCUGGAGCUUCCAGAUCCAACCUGGGUCUUGUCCCCUUGGAUGGCCCGUCUCCAGCCCCUCUGCCUCGAUCAAGCUGUUGGUGUCUCCAGCGUUCGGGCCUCAGUUUCCUCCUGGGCUACACCGGGGAACAAUCAGUCCUCCAGGCCAAGCACCGUUGCCCUACUCUGGAUCUCUGGAUCUCUGGAUAGAAUUGUCCCCUGGCCCUGGCUUUGGGACCCCACCCCAGAAGCCAGCCCCAGCACCGAGCCCAGCCUGGGCUGUCCCAACCCACCCUUGGGGAAGAGAUCAGGAAACAGGGACAGGGAGGACCUUAUUUCACCUAAACGCUCUUGUGAGAGCAGCACUGGGUGGGCAGUGGGGGUCACGGCUGCUUGUGUCACAGCAUCAGGUGUGCAAACCCGGGACAGGACACUUUACUCUGCAUCUCACUCUGUACUUCCUAGAUGAGAGGCUCAAAUCAAUUCACCCAACCUCUCCGAAUCCUAGUUCCUUUACCUACAAGCAAUAAAUCUUUACUUCCCUUGGCACUCAGUUGUCCCCUCCAUAAACCGGAAAACUUAUUUAUAUGUUCAUUUGCUUCUGAGCUCGGCAAGAGCAGGGACCGUGUCGCUCCGGUGCUCAGCUCGUAGUUAGACCUCAAUACACGUUCGUGAAAUAAAUGCAUGGGCACACUGUCGCUGUCAGCCUCCGCCUCCUGGGUCAGAGCUGCACCUGCAUGAGACCCCAGGGCAGGUGCACCAAGUUCCAGAAGGCCUGGAGUCCCAGUCUGCCCUGUCGGUCCCUCCACCCCGUGGUCAUUCUGCGGCCCCCUCGCCAGCCUUGUCCUCUGAAAACCCGCAGAGUCGCACCUACUUUCCCCGAAGUGAGAUUGAGUUUAGGUGAGAUCGUGGAUCCAGUCUUCAGUGGGGCUCUGUCUUCUCCCUCUGGUCCAGGCUCAGGCCUCUGUGCCAACUCUUCCCGGGGCAGGAGACCUUUGAACAUCUCCUGUGCUGCCAGUGGCUGGUUCUGGAAGUUACUGUUCAGCCCACGGUCUGUGGAGAGCCCCGGGGCCCCGGUCACUGGUUAAAGCCAUCCGAACCCAUUUCCCACUAUACAACCUGUGGUUCAGUCUGGCACAGCCGCCUUUCCAGAACCCCUGCCUGCUCCCCCAGAGCCCCUGUCUGCCUGUCUCUGGCCAUCCAUCCCUUCCCUGGGGGAAAGUCUCCCCUCCUGUUGUGCCCAGUGUCUCCGGAGCUCAUUCCCCAGCUUGGAGGGGCCCAUGAAAGAAGAGGCAGAGGUAGGUUGGGGCAGGAAGGUUGAAGGAAGAGUGGGAGCGCUCCCCGUUUCUCCAAAGCUAAGCUGUCACCCCCGGAGAGGGCAGAAUGACUCAGACACCGUCUUUCCCUAUGGGGCAGAGCUGGGGUGGUGACAGAAGUAGGAACAUGCUGGGGAGAAAAUGACCCCAGAGGCGGUGAGUUCCUCAGCACCCAGGUCCCUCUCCUGCCCUCCUGGUCUCGAGACACAACAGAUCUUUAUUUCCCUGUAGUUCACACUUCAAGUGGGUUGUUAUCUUCUCUUACUAAAAGUGUAAUUCGUUUGGGGCGCCUGGAUGGCUUAGCUGGUUAAGCGUCCAGCUCUUGAUUUUGGCUCGGUUUGUGAUCCUAGGGUCAUGGGAAUGAGCCCCAAGUCGGGCUCUGGGCUGACAGCAGGGACCCUGCUUGGGAUUCUGUCUGUCUCUCUCUCUCUGUCCCUCCCCUGCUCCCUCACUUGUGCUCUCUCUCUGUCUCUCAAAAUAAAGAAACUUAAAAAUAAGAGUGUAAUUCAUUUAAGGUUCUUUGAUGAUUAUUUUAUUUCUCCCAAGUAUAUUCCAGUUGAGAAGAUCAAUGCCAGAAAAUUAGAUCCAUUAACAAGUACUAAGCAGCCAGUCUUGAGAGGAGGGCAUUUAGAGCAAGAGAAACAGAAGAAGCAAACUCAGACCUGUGCAGGGAGCCCUGGCACAGAGAUCACACCCAUGCAUUAAGAGCCUUCGGUACUGAAAUUCAAGUUCCUUUUGGAGUCCAGAGUUGACGACUGAGCUUAUCAGCCAAUAAUGAGCCCCUUGUGGCAGACAGAGGGGACUCUGAUCUCACCCCUGAAGGCGUAUCUUCUCCCAAGGCCAUGAACCUGUUGAUGGACAGCCUCCUUGUUCCCCAGCCCCCUUCGAGGAGCACAUCAGCCUUUGCCCACAUGCCCGGGCAGUCGGAGGGAAAAAAACAAAAUGCCACUCCACCGUGGACCAGGAGGCAGGCCAGGAGAUUCAUCUGUUAGAGACCUUGCUGGGUGCAGACAGGGGCCCUGGGAGGGAGGAUAGAGACGGAGGGAGGAGAGAGAGAUUUCCUGCGUCCCCACCACCAUCAGAGGCUAUGAGAAGGCAAUGAAUUUCCAGUGAAUUUCCAAAGGGUGAGCGGUGGCCUCCAUGAGGACUGAAAGGUUAACCUUUCCCGAAGCUCAAAUAAAGUCCCCAGGACUCCCCGCCCCCCCACCCACCCACCCUGUGAUUAAUUCAGCCUGGUAAAGUGGUAUUUGCACUGGAAAUUUAAUCAUCAUUUCUGAUGAUAAUGAAAUUGAGAAAUAAAUGGAAAGUGUCAAGAACGGUGUUAGGCGGGAGGCGGGGGAUGACCAAGUGAGGUGGGGGCCAGCCGCCUGGCUCCACGGUGAGUGGUUUUAGAGGCCUAAGAAACUAGGAGACUUCCCGGUUCAUUAUUGCAGAUCAAGAACCAGGGAUGGUUGGGGUGCGGGUAGGGGUGUUGGGGGACAGGACAGAGGGCGUGGGCAG